CGGGGCGUAGCGCAGUUUGGUAGCGUACGUGGUUUGGGACCAUGGGGUCGGGGGUUCGAAUCCCUCCGCCCCGA
RNAcentral lists this transfer RNA (74 nucleotides) under Peptococcus niger. It matches the Rfam family "tRNA". From Rfam's summary of the family: Transfer RNA (tRNA) molecules are approximately 80 nucleotides in length. Their secondary structure includes four short double-helical elements and three loops (D, anti-codon, and T loops). Further hydrogen bonds mediate the characteristic L-shaped molecular structure. tRNAs have two regions of fundamental functional importance: the anti-codon, which is responsible for specific mRNA codon recognition, and the 3' end, to which the tRNAs corresponding amino acid is attached (by aminoacyl-tRNA synthetases). tRNAs cope with the degeneracy of the genetic code in two manners: having more than one tRNA (with a specific anti-codon) for a particular amino acid; and 'wobble' base-pairing, i.e. permitting non-standard base-pairing at the 3rd anti-codon position. The record is from Rfam by way of RNAcentral. Lineage: Bacteria; Bacillati; Bacillota; Clostridia; Eubacteriales; Peptococcaceae. RNAcentral also lists the same sequence under 3 other names.